Long non-coding RNA from Etheostoma spectabile (orangethroat darter), 218 nucleotides. RefSeq lists it as uncharacterized. The transcript is spliced from 3 exons. Lineage: Eukaryota; Metazoa; Chordata; Actinopteri; Perciformes; Percidae. The record is from RefSeq and is a predicted model, not a curated record.
GGGAGACAGGGGGAAGAGGAGAAGACCGCAAAAAAGAAAGAUCCAAAAAGAGCAAAAAUCUCGGGAGGAUAUCAACCAGAACCAGGAAAACAUCAGCUACAGGUUUGAUGACUUUGACGCGAUGCCAUGAUGAGGCUAUAGAGAGAGGACAUCAGGGACUCUCUGUGGAGGAGCAGGGCAAUGGCAGAGACAUCACCGCCAUCCUAUCACGAGGACGG